Molecule: small nuclear RNA, 161 nt
Filed under: Triticum aestivum (bread wheat)
Lineage: Eukaryota; Viridiplantae; Streptophyta; Magnoliopsida; Poales; Poaceae
Description: snRNA U1
Rfam family: U1 spliceosomal RNA
About the family: U1 is a small nuclear RNA (snRNA) component of the spliceosome (involved in pre-mRNA splicing).
Source: RNAcentral
UUACUUACCUGGACGGGGUCGAUGGCUGAUCAACAAAAGCCAUGGCCUAGGCUAGUGGUCCACAUUGCACUUGGUGGAUGCACUUGCUUACCAUCUCCCCAAGCGGGAGAGUGGACGUCAUAAUUUGUGAUAGAGGGGGUACGCGUUCGCGCGGCCCCUGC